UGAGGAAUAUUGGACAAUGGGUGAGAGCCUGAUCCAGCCAUCCCGCGUGAAGGAUGACGGUCCUAUGGAUUGUAAACUUCUUUUGUACAGGGAUAAACCUACUCUCGUGAGGGUAGCUGAAGGUACUGUACGAAUAAGCACCGGCUAACUCCGUGCCAGCAGCCGCGGUAAUACGGAGGGUGCAAGCGUUAUCCGGAUUUAUUGGGUUUAAAGGGUCCGUAGGCGGACUUGUAAGUCAGUGGUGAAAUCUCAUAGCUUAACUAUGAAACUGCCAUUGAUACUGCAGGUCUUGAGUAAAUUUGAAGUGGUUGGAAUAAGUAGUGUAGCGGUGAAAUGCAUAGAUAUUACUUAGAACACCAAUUGCGAAGGCAGGUCACUAAGAUUUAACUGACGCUGAUGGACGAAAGCGUGGGGAGCGAACA
This 422-nucleotide ribosomal RNA is filed under the name uncultured bacterium. RNAcentral describes it as "partial 16S ribosomal RNA". It matches the Rfam family "Bacterial small subunit ribosomal RNA", at positions 355 to 774 of the family's 1533-position model. The record is from RNAcentral.